CGGGGCGUAGCUCAGCCUGGCAGAGCGCUGCGUUCGGGACGCAGAGGUCGGAGGUUCAAAUCCUCUCGCCCCGACCA
RNAcentral lists this transfer RNA (77 nucleotides) under Planctomycetota bacterium. RNAcentral describes it as "Planctomycetes bacterium tRNA-Pro". It matches the Rfam family "tRNA". Rfam says of the family: Transfer RNA (tRNA) molecules are approximately 80 nucleotides in length. Lineage: Bacteria; Pseudomonadati; Planctomycetota. The record is from RNAcentral.